CCUACGGGAGGCAGCAGUGGGGAAUAUUGCGCAAUGGGCGAAAGCCUGACGCAGCGACGCCGCGUGAGGGAUGAAGGUCUUCGGAUCGUUAACCUCUGUCAGCAGGGAAGAACGGUCACUGUGCUAAUCAGCAGUGAAUUGACGGUACCUGCAAAGGAAGCACCGGAUAACUCCGUGCCAGCAGCCGCGGUAAUACGGAGGGUGCGAGCGUUAAUCGGAUUUACUGGGCGGAAAGCGCUCGUAGGCGGUAUGUCAAGUCAAGGGUGAAAUCCCCGGGCUCAACGUGGGAACUGCAUUUGAAACUGGCAAACUGGAGUGUGUGAGAGGAUAGUGGAAUUCCAGGUGUAGGAGUGAAAUCCGUAGAUAUCUGGAGGAACAUCAGUGGCGAAGGCGACUAUCUGGCACAUAACUGACGCUGAGGAGCGAAAGCGUGGGUAGCAAACAGGAUUAGAUACCCUUGUAGUC
Molecule: ribosomal RNA, 465 nt
Filed under: uncultured bacterium
Lineage: Bacteria
Description: partial 16S ribosomal RNA
Rfam family: Bacterial small subunit ribosomal RNA
Source: RNAcentral